AUUUUUUUUUUCCAGAGCAAGAGAAAAUCCAGUGACUGAAAAAGAAUAAGAAGAAAAACACUGACCAAGGCAAUAAUUCCAAGAAGUCAAAAAUUAAGGCCUGAGAGGAAGAAGGCAGACUAAAGAAAGUAGGACAAAAGCUUGUUAAGAGGAACUUGACUCUUUGUUCACUGCUGAGUCUUCGGUGCCCAGAACAGAUCUUGGCACAUGGGCAUUCAACUUCUGCAGACUGGAUGAUUUAGAUGUUGCAAAUGCCAUCUUCAAGGAUGCCCAUACUUCCUGGAUUCUAACUACCUUGAUAAAGUUUCAUUGCUUUGUUUUUCUUCUGUAUUUCAGUAUGGAGACCUUCUAUGUCCAGACUUAAUCAAUUUUCUGUACUUGUCCAUUCUGCUUCUGCUGGUGUUUUGCAGUAAGCCAGAGGUAAGCAGGAUAUUGUGGACUAUAGGAAGAGGUUAAACAGGUAACUCUGAUUAGACUUUCACAAUGGGGUCCCUAUAUUGCAUUUACAUCGCCAUGGAAAGGGCCUUUUAUCAUAAUAAUUCUAAUAAUAACUGGUAUUUAUUUAGCACCUAGUACGUAGUAGGAACUCUGCUUAGCACUUUAUAUAAAUUAUUUCAUUUAAUCUUUCUAACAACGCUGUAUUAUUUAAUCUUUACAACAACUAACUAUGGUUUUUAUUUCCAAUUUGUAGAUGAGAAAAUUGAUGCUCAGAGGUGUUGUGCAACUUAGAAAUGUACUGCAGCUAGGAAGCCACCUGCUGGUUUCUCAUUACAGCUAAGGUGCCAGAGCUAAGGAAUAACACAUGCCUGUAACAUGAGCACUUUGGGAGGCCAAGGCGGAUGGAUCACCUGAGGUCAGGAGUUCGAGACUAGCCUGGCCAACAUGGUGAAAUCCCGUCUCUACUAAACAUACAAAAAUUAGCUGGGCGUGGUGGCAGAUGCCUGUAAUCUCAGCUACUAGGAAGGCUGAGGCAGGAGAAUUGCUUGCACCUGGGAGGCAGAGGUUGCAGUGAGCCGAGAUGGUACCAUUGCACUCCAGCUGGGCGACAGAGCGAGACACCAUCUCAAAACAACAACAACAAAAAAAAACAAAAAGGGAUGGUCAGACCAGGAGAUGAAGACCCAAAGAGGUCCCUUUUCCUAUGAUGCUGUCAUAAUUUUCAUGCUCCUGAUUAUACCUGCCCAAUUAUUAGCAGACAUAUAGACAAUAGCAAAUCUCAAUUCACAGUCACAUGGUGGAAUUCCUUUGCUUAAUGCCGUAAAUUCAUCAAGAGAAAGGGAAUGGUUUUUGUUACAACUGUGAAUUAAAGGUAGGUGGUGACUAAUCAGUUAGCCAAUGCAUGUCCCUUGAGAUAAGAAAGUCAACUUCUUGUGAUAUUCAGGGUUCUCAGAUGUGAUCCCAAAACAUUAAUGCCAGAUACCUGCGCUCCUACCUGAGACAAACUCAUGGUUUCAGAGAGCAGAAGGUCAAAGCACUAAAAUGAAUGCAUUAGAAUUAAGCUGGCUUCCAUCACAAAGCUUCAUAUAAAUAUUACACCGGCUCUAUAAGACACUCAAUGUUUGGUUUCUGAACCUAUUAAUAUAUAAUGAGGAUACGAUGUAAUUAAUAUCGUUUGUUUUGAUUUUCUGUUAAAUCCGCUUUAGUAAUAAAGAAUGCAAGGUAAUUAUUCAAAAAGGCUUUUCAACAAAUGUCAGUUUCAUUGAUUAAAAAUCAAGUCAGUGCUUCAUUUGAAAUGAUAUUUACAAGCAUGCUUUAAGCUGAAAUGAAUAAUUAUCAGAUUAUUGAACAGCAAGUUAUCUGCAAAGAAUUGUCUACUUUUUUGCUUUUUGCACUGAGGCUUGAUCUCAAAUAAUAAUAAAAGACAA
This is a long non-coding RNA of Homo sapiens (human), 1865 nucleotides long. The record is from Ensembl. Lineage: Eukaryota; Metazoa; Chordata; Mammalia; Primates; Hominidae.